GGAUCUCUGAUGAUUCCCAAUCAAACAUUCUUUGGAAAAUCUGAACAAAGUGAGUGAAAACUCAUUACUGCUACUCUCAUAGGGACUGAGGUCU
Small nucleolar RNA from Arvicanthis niloticus (Nile rat), 94 nucleotides. RefSeq annotates it as small nucleolar RNA SNORD116. NCBI's taxonomy places the organism in Eukaryota, Metazoa, Chordata, Mammalia, Rodentia, Muridae. The record is from RefSeq and is a predicted model, not a curated record.